RNAcentral lists this ribosomal RNA (254 nucleotides) under uncultured bacterium. Its description in RNAcentral is "partial 16S ribosomal RNA". It matches the Rfam family "Bacterial small subunit ribosomal RNA", at positions 524 to 776 of the family's 1533-position model. The record is from RNAcentral.
UACGUAGGGUGCGAGCGUUAAUCGGAAUUACUGGGCGUAAAGUGUGCGCAGGCGCAAAGCAAGUCGAGUGUGAAAGCCCCGGGCUUAACUUGGGAAUUGCGCUCGAAACUACUUUGACUGGAGUGUGGCAGAGGAAGGUGGAAUUCCACGUGUAGCGGUGAAAUGCGUGAGAUAUCGGGAGGAACACCUGUGGCGAAAGCGGCGCACUGGACCACAUCUGACGCUGAGGCGCGAAAGCUAGGGGAGCAAACAGG